GACGAACGCUGGCGGCGUGCUUAACACAUGCAAGUCGAACGCUGAAGCUCAGCUUUUGUUGGGUGGAUGAGUGGCGAACGGGUGAGUAACACGUGAGUAACCUGCCUCCUUCUUUGGGAUAACGCCCGGAAACGGGUGCUAAUACUGGAUAUUCACUGGUCUUCGCAUGGGGGUUGGUGGAAAGGGUUUUUCUGGUGGGGGAUGGGCUCGCGGCCUAUCAGCUUGUUGGUGGGGUGAUGGCCUACCAAGGCUUUGACGGGUAGCCGGCCUGAGAGGGUGACCGGUAACAUUGGGACUGAGAUACGGCCCAGACUCCUACGGGGGGCAGCAGUGGGGAAUAUUGCACAAUGGGCGCAAGACUGAUGCAGCGACGCCGCGUGAGGGAUGGAGGCCUUCGGGUUGUGAACCUCUUUCGCUCAUGGUCAAGCCGCAACAAUGGUUGUGGUGAGGGUAGUGGGUAAAGAAGCGCCGGCUAACUACGUG
This 483-nucleotide ribosomal RNA is filed under the name uncultured bacterium. RNAcentral describes it as "partial 16S ribosomal RNA". It matches the Rfam family "Bacterial small subunit ribosomal RNA", at positions 28 to 507 of the family's 1533-position model. The record is from RNAcentral.